This 578-nucleotide ribosomal RNA is filed under the name uncultured bacterium. RNAcentral's name for it is "partial 16S ribosomal RNA". It matches the Rfam family "Bacterial small subunit ribosomal RNA", at positions 355 to 937 of the family's 1533-position model. The record is from RNAcentral.
UAAGGAAUAUUGGUCAAUGGGCGGAAGCCUGAACCAGCCAUGCCGCGUGCAGGAUGACUGCCCUAUGGGUUGUAAACUGCUUUUGUCCAGGAAUAAACCUUUCUACGUGUAGGAAGCUGAAUGUACUGGAAGAAUAAGGAUCGGCUAACUCCGUGCCAGCAGCCGCGGUAAUACGGAGGAUCCGAGCGUUAUCCGGAUUUAUUGGGUUUAAAGGGUGCGUAGGCGGCCUAUUAAGUCAGGGGUGAAAUACGGUGGCUCAACCAUCGCAGUGCCUUUGAUACUGAUGGGGCUUGAAUCCAUUUGAAGUGGGCGGAAUAAGACAAGUAGCGGUGAAAUGCAUAGAUAUGUCUUAGAACUCCGAUUGCGAAGGCAGCUCACUAAGCUGGUAUUGACGCUGAUGCACGAAAGCGUGGGGAUCGAACAGGAUUAGAUACCCUGGUAGUCCACGCCCUAAACGAUGAUAACUCGAUGUUGGCGAUAGACAGCCAGCGUCCAAGCGAAAGCGUUAAGUUAUCCACCUGGGGAGUACGCCCGCAAGGGUGAAACUCAAAUGAAUUGACGGGGUCAUAGCUGUUUCC